This 207-nucleotide ribosomal RNA is filed under the name uncultured bacterium. RNAcentral describes it as "partial 16S ribosomal RNA". It matches the Rfam family "Bacterial small subunit ribosomal RNA", at positions 568 to 774 of the family's 1533-position model. The record is from RNAcentral.
CGUGUAGGCGGAUCGGCAAGUCGGGCGUGAAAUCCCCAGGCUCAACCUGGGAACUGCACUCGAAACUGCCUUUCUCGAGUACCGGAGAGGAAAGCGGAAUACCUGGUGUAGAGGUGAAAUUCGUAGAUAUCAGGUGGAACACCAGUGGCGAAGGCGGCUUUCUGGACGGUAACUGACGCUGAGACGCGAAAGCGUGGGGAGCAAACA